RNAcentral lists this ribosomal RNA (400 nucleotides) under uncultured bacterium. Its description in RNAcentral is "bacterial SSU rRNA". It matches the Rfam family "Bacterial small subunit ribosomal RNA", at positions 355 to 752 of the family's 1533-position model. The record is from RNAcentral.
UGAGGAAUAUUGGACAAUGGGUGAGAGCCUGAUCCAGCCAUCCCGCGUGAAGGACGACGGACCUAUGGUUUGUAAACUUCUUUUAUACGGGGAUAAACCUACUUACGCGUAAGUAGCUGAAGGUACCGUAUGAAUAAGCACCGGCUAACUCCGUGCCAGCAGCCGCGGUAAUACGGAGGGUGCAAGCGUUAUCCGGAUUUAUUGGGUUUAAAGGGUCCGUAGGCGGGCUCGUAAGUCAGUGGUGAAAGCCUGCAGCUUAACUGUAGAACUGCCGUUGAUACUGCGAGUCUUGAGUAAAUUUGAAGUGGCUGGAAUAAGUAGUGUAGCGGUGAAAUGCAUAGAUAUUACUUAGAACACCAAUUGCGAAGGCAGGUCACUAAGAUUUAACUGACGCUGAGGG